CAUUAAGAAGCUAUGAACCAGCGCUAGCCUUUUAAGCUAGAGAUAGAGGAGCACAACCCUCCUUAAUGG
Molecule: transfer RNA, 69 nt
Filed under: Eulacestoma nigropectus (wattled ploughbill)
Lineage: Eukaryota; Metazoa; Chordata; Aves; Passeriformes
Description: tRNA-Lys
Rfam family: tRNA
About the family: Transfer RNA (tRNA) molecules are approximately 80 nucleotides in length. Their secondary structure includes four short double-helical elements and three loops (D, anti-codon, and T loops).
Source: RNAcentral